RNAcentral lists this long non-coding RNA (5606 nucleotides) under Strigops habroptila (Kakapo). RNAcentral describes it as "lncRNA (ENSSHBG00005000060.1)". The record is from RNAcentral. Lineage: Eukaryota; Metazoa; Chordata; Aves; Psittaciformes; Psittacidae.
CAUUGAAAGUCACUUUACUGAUGUUACAGUAUGUCAGUAACAUUGAAAACCACAGGCAUUUGUAUUAAAUACUCUCAUGGAAGUGGAUACCGUGAUGCUUGUUAUUAAAAGUGACCAGGAAUUUAGAACCCCAAAUUACAAUGAUUUGAUUUUAUAAAAAGCGACAUUUUUGGUUAGCUACAUGAAAGCCAGAUUCAUUCACUUCAACAGCCCAAUGCCUGUCAUGUUUUAUGUCAAAAAUAUCACACUCAAAGCUAGAAAGUUGUAAAUUGCAAUGCUUCAUUUUGGUAUUUGUCAAAAUCUUAUGUUUCUACUGUAUCAGGUAUGAUUUUUUAAGGAUUUUUAACGAGCAAAGACAACAAUAUGAUGUAGGUUGGUUGUUUUUGCCAAUACGAGCCAGCCCCAGUGGUGAAACAAGAUUCUCAUCACCUCUCUCAGCGUUUUACCAAUCAAUCAGGGCUAGUACGAGUGAAAAAAUAGCUUUUUCUUUUCUUUUUACAGCAAUGCCCAAGUUAAACAUCAGCACAAAAUGAAGCUGGCAGAGGCAAUGGGUAUAUACUGCCCUGAAAGCUUUGCUGAAAGAACUGCUCAUACAGUGUUUUCUCCAGCAGAUUAAAAAUUCUGUAAUGCUUUGCUACUCUGAAAAAAAUAUUCUGCAUUUAUGCAACAAUAAAAAUAUGUACUGUAUUCUAUAUAAAACACUACCUAUUUUCAUAUAUAUAUUUAUCCUUAAGGAAAGAAAAAUCAGGUUAUAUAUUCACAGUUUGCGUAUGUUCUGGACUGUAUUUCCAAGCAUAAAAUACAUGGAAUCUCUACACAGGCAGUGAGCAGGAGUCCUUGUACCGAUAAUCAAAAGCAAUCAGCAUCUGCUGUUCUACAGAGCCUUACGACAUCGCAUGAUUAGCUGCUCGCACCACUACAUGUACAAGGUCAGUCAGACCUACACACAGAAUUUCUAAUGUAGUUGUAAAAAUAGACUCUCCAUGCUAAAGUUAGAAUAUAUAAGGUCUUAAGGCCUCAUGUUAAGAUUGGUUUUAACCAAAACUUCAUUUUUUUUAUUCAGAGGAAUACAGAAACAAAAAAAACCCCAAAAACCAAAAAAACCAAAAAAACAAAGGGCAAAAGCUUGUUGCUUUGACAUUUUUAUGCUCUAGUAAUUAAAAAUAGUAUAAGACAGACUCCUAUGCUUCUCCCUUAGAGAAUGUGUUUCUUUUUAACUGCUCUGUGCUUCUUUUCCCCAAUGUUCCUUACCUCACUUUGAGUUACAUUGCAGUAAUGGCCUAAGUAGCAGUUCUUGAACAGUUUAAAGCUGGCUUAGCUGAAGUGAUCUUGAAACAGAUGUAGAUGGGAUUUGAGAGAACUAAACCUGCCACACCUGGCUAGGUGAGCCAAUUCUAAAGUUUCUCCAGUGCGAGCAAAGGACCACAUUUCUGUGUUCUGCACUUAUUUUUACUGCUUGUUUUGGUUGAGAUAACAUAUGAAUGUUAUCUGUAGAAGUACUUCUUCAAAUAAAUAGUUGCAGAAAACUUGUGGAAUGACAAGAUACCACAUGCUGGGUGUGUGAGGUACUGUUAAGAAAGCUGUAGUUGCCUUCAGCAUCCAUACUUCAGGCACCAGAAAUAUUUUGCAUAAGCUGACUUGGAAAAUACUCAGGUCAAAGGAGUUUUUUAGCAUAGGUGAUUGACAGAAACUAUUAGUUCCUCUCCUGUUUCUGAUGAAACUACACUUAAAAGAGUCCUAUCUGUAUUGCACUACAUCUACACAAUCAGUUUCACCAUUUCCUUGUUUCCUGCUCUACUAGGAUAACAGGCACAUGCACACAGGAAUGUUCCCUCACCAGGCAGUUACAGGAUGACAAGCUGUACACAUGUGCAGUUUAUUCAUAUUGGUCUUCAGGAAAUCUGAUUAAAGUCGAAUCCCAUAUUGCUGAUAAAUGUCAUUAUGGUUUGGAAGCCAUGCAAAUAGUGGGUCAUCAGCUCAGCAGUCUGAUGAAUAAUCCAUUCUGGGCAAAAAAAUGGCUUCAGAGGAGACCAGAAUUCUCAAACUCUUAAAAAAUUGGGUAAAUAACCUCACAUUGUGCCCAAACAGUCUGCUAGUGAUGCAUAUACUCAAAUAACUUAAAAGAAAUAGAUGAUCUUUAGACUUGAAGCAAGAGAAACAGGACACAGCACAACUUUUAGGUUCACAGACUGGGUGUUUAAAGCAGCUUAGCCUUCACCGGUGCUAGAUGGUGAGAAAGGCACAGGAUGGCUGAGCAACAAGAUGGUUUUACCCCUUCUCAUGGUUUAACCCCAGAUGGCAACUAAGCACCACCACACAUCAUUCACUCCCCCUUCUCUGCCAGCAGGAUGGGGGAGAGAAUUGGAAGGGUAAAAGUGAGAAAACUCGUGGGUUGAGAGAAGAAGAGUUUAAUAAUUGAAAUAAAAUAAUGAUAAUAGCAAUAAUAAUAUAUUGUAAUGAAAAGGGAAAUAACAAAGAGAGAUAAAUAAAAAGAAAGACAAGUGAUGCAAAUGAAAAUUGCUCACCACCAAACGACUGAAGCCCAGCCACUUAGCCAGCAGCAGCCUCCCCCUGCCAACCUUCCUUCUUUAUUGCUGAGCAUGAUAGUAUGAGAUACCCCUUGGGUCAGUUGGGGUCAGCUGUCCCAGCUGUGUUCCCUCCCAACCUCUUGUGCACCCCCCGCCUACUUGCUGUUGGGGUGGGGUGAGAAGCGGAAAAGACCUUGACUCAGUAAGAUACCUGUGUUAUCAACAUUGUUUUCAGCACAAAUCCAAAAACUAGCCCCAUACCAGCUACUGUAAAGAAAAAUUAACUCUACCUCAGCCAAUACCAGCAUACCAGUGCAAACUGCACGAGACAUGAGGCUCCACCACCUCCACUGCAGCAAGAGCAAAAGAUGUAUUAACAGCACUGGAACAACCUUAUUCAGGACAUUGUGGGGAAAGGUGAUGACUAAUUUAGCAGCUUUUUCAUCUUAGCCAACUAACACAAGAGGCUAUUAGUGGUUGUAAUUGUCAUUCGUGGAAAUGCUUUUCAGUAGUAGUGGAAAGGAAGAGAACAGGAGCUUUACGCUGGAGCGUGGUGAUUUUGCUUACCACAGCUAGGUAUGGGAUUCAAUGACAAAGCAAGCCCUAAUUGCUAACUUGCUAUCCUGGAAGAUUAUGGAGUCUCAUCAUUUUUCAGAUUACAUCCUCUCCUAUUUAUUAAUGAAUUCAUAAACAAAAUGACUAAAACUUUGAAUUUGUAGUAUACGCAUGCCUAUAAUAGUGUACAUACCAUUUCUUAGCUCUGGUCUGGAAAGUUGUUGUCACAUUGGUGUUGACAAGACCACUCGGUUCAUUUAAAACCAGCAACAGGAAUUCAGGUUAGACAACUUCAGUACACUAGCUACUGACACACUUCCUUUCUGAUUUUAAUUCAGGCUAUAGCUCAAAGGCCCAUUUGUUCAUUAUCACACUCAAAAUUACCUAGUGAGUUCAUCAGCUUAGCAGGUUCAAUAUCUCAUAAAUCAGGAACUCUUUAAAGCAUUUGGAAGUAGCUAUCUUCAAAGUCAAGUCACACUUACCAGGUAACUGGCAAGCAGUGACUUAAGUCCACAACUUAAGCAAAGACAGGCUGUAUAAAUUUAACAACCUCCUUAAAACUACUUAUUUAAAUGUGACAAAACUAUGUGUAAAUUAUCAAUCACAACCAUUCCUGGUAUAUUGCCUGAGUAUAUUCACCAAAAGUCUAUAGUAUAGAUUACUGAAGUUCUUGUUUCAACAAAUACAGAAUUAGCAAGUAAAUUUUUACUUGUUAAUCUGUGGCAUGAUUGUGCAGCAUUAUUAUUUGGAUACAAUCUCUAUUUUCCAGUCUCUAUCACUUAGUCAUAUUAAUUUUAUUUUAAAUUAUACAAGAUUCUUCUCCCACGUUGAAAUACAUAACACUAACUUAAGUACAGCUCGUCCUGCAGGUCCUAUGCUCAUAUGGACAAUUAUUUCCAUUUGAGAAGAUCUGGUAAUGGUCCCACUUCAAUAGGCAUCUACAGCAUAGAUAGCAAUAACUAGUUCAUUUAUUAAAAUCAAAAUAAAAACAAAGUAAAAGCAUGAGUCUGAAUGAGUGAAAGUGACUGAGCUAUCUUAUUGACAAUACAAGUACUCUGAUAUUUUAGACUGGAUGAGGUAUUAUGCGACAAUUUCUAUUGCUAUUGCCAGUGUAACUAACUACAGUGGAUAAAAAUACUUGCAAUCUUCAAGCUUAUUAAUCUGGCAGCUUUCCAACACACUAACUUUUAGAAGUAGAAAACCACAGAAUGUAAGCCAAACACUUCUCUCUUCAACCUCCACUCUGUGAGCUUCGGAGGCCCACACAGCCCUGCCAGUUCAGGUUUUGUGCAACGACAACGUCUCCAGGUUACCAACCUGAUGCAAAAUUUCCUGCAGAAGAAUUCUGCAAGCACCCAAGUCCUGUGAUGUUCUCACUCUAGACCAUCAAAGUGAAAGUCUGUAUUUAUUUAACUUAAACUCAGUGCUCAUAACUAGACUUCCAGUCACUACAUAUCUCCAAGUGUUAAACUGGCUGUUAAAAGUUACACAACACACAUAACUGGAUCAUCAUAUGCUACAAAUGAAUUAUACCAAAACAAGAGAGAAGCUAAACUACAUACUACAUUGCAAGUACAGUCAGGAGAGCCAUUUGUUUGCAAACUGAGAAGCUAUGAACAUUACACAAAGAGCCAGUAUGUUAUAUCCAGUUCUGUCUGCCAAAUCUUGCUGCUUCUUGAUAAGGCAAAAUGGAAAGGGAAGAGUAAACAGUGGUAAACAUAAAGUAUGCACAGGAAUCUAACACGAUCAUUCAAAAUUACAUGCCAGUUUGUAUUCAAACAAAAUACCAUAAAAGGCACAUGAUGAAGAGUUACUAAAGACGAGAUACCAACAUAGGAGAGAAAACAGCUUCCAGGCGACAGAGUAAUAGAACGGCUGUUGGCAUAGCAUAAUGUCCUACUAUGGGUGAACUCCUUGAGGGUCCUGCUCAAAAAGUCCAGAGAAAUCAGUAAAAGACAUACUGAUUUCAAGUGAUUGCGGCUCAGACCCUAAUUUCAUGAGCUACGGGCUACCAACUAUCUUUAACCCAGUUACCUACACUCAAAGUAAAUCUUUGCGAAAAAUAUUCUUCAGUGCUGAUGGAUAUUUACUCUCCACAAAAGUGCAGACUCUUUUCCUAAAGCAAUUACAACUGAUUGGCUCCUUCCAGGUGGUCUGUCUGCAUCCACUUGCGCUCACUCAUCCUUGUCUUUCUCCAAAAUACUUACCAGAACCUGUCAACUGUGAAGGAAAAUCAUUUGAAUGCCAAGGCAAAUAUUUUGUCAUAAUCCAAUGUACAGCCUAAUCAUAAAAUAUAGUGCUUCUAAAAAUCUUACAUACUUUACAGUUGCUGACAUCUUUAAACAUUUCUUAAUUUAAUCUUACAUAUAUAUGACUUUAUUGAGAGACUUAAAAGUUAAAAAAAUAUAUUAAAAGGCUGCAAGUGUUGGGUUCACUUAUUAAAGGAAACACAUGAAAGAGGUAGAAGAUUCAGAAACACCCUCGAUGUUCCCAUUAUAGUAACACCUAAUUGAUCAUACGGCU